RNAcentral lists this long non-coding RNA (300 nucleotides) under Lytechinus variegatus (green sea urchin). Its description in RNAcentral is "uncharacterized LOC121416907". Lineage: Eukaryota; Metazoa; Echinodermata; Echinoidea; Temnopleuroida; Toxopneustidae. The record is from RNAcentral.
AUGAAACAAAAGAUUCACCGCCACUUAACACCUUUGAAAUAAGUGAGGAAGUUCACAGUGCUGAUACCGAUGGAGCAAAAGUUUCACAACCGAUUAACACAUUGGAAAUGAGUGAGGAACUUAACAGUGCAGGUGAAGUUGCCAAUGAAACAAAAGAUUCACCGCCACUUAACACCUUUGAAAUAAGUGAGGAAGUUCACAGUGCUGAUACCGAUGGAGCAAAAGUUUCACAACCGAUUAACACAUUGGAAAUGAGUGAAGAACUUAACAGUGCAGGUGAGGUUGCCGAUGAAACAAAAG